CUGGAGGAGAGGUGUAGCUCUCCAGCUCACCCAGCCAGGGAAACUUCCUCCCUACCCAAGCUCUACCAACCUUCAAGCAGGCCUACCUGUAGCAGACUGCUAAAACCUUCCAAAAGGCAGCCACGCUAGAGCCUGCCUAUGAACUUCAGCAUGAGCUGCUCCGACAACAUCUUGCCAGCAGAACCACAACAACAGGAGCCACAAACCAGCAAGACCACUUCACUGGACUUCAAAAAAGGACCUUUCCCCCUUUUCCUGGACGGGUGUGUGCCAUCUCCCUCUGAUGACUCUGCGGUGACGUGGUCAGGGAUAGCUUACCAACUCACCUGCAGCUCAUCCACUAAACACCUGCAGUAAAUGUACCCUGGUCGUGAUCCCAGUCAUUGCCAGUUCCUCCGUCAACGCUACAGUGGAUUCACUGUCCGGUUCUCCUGCCAUCACUCCUCGCUGCCUGGACUGUGCAAGCAGAACAUUCACUCUCCACUUUCUCCUCUCAUCCUCUUGCCACCUUUGGUCAGAAAAUAAACACCCCUGAACUGUUCGUACUGUGUGACGCCUUGUGUUCUGUCUCUGUGGUAGUUUAAAGUCGCUUUAAACAUGACAUGUUAAGGGAAUUUGUGACAGUGUUUCUCACUAUUUCUUUGCUGACAAAGAGUAAAUCAAAACCCAAACCCCAAAAUGGUUGACUUGAGGAAUAUCAGUCAGCUGAAGGGUUUUGAACUG
Long non-coding RNA from Hippoglossus stenolepis (Pacific halibut), 723 nucleotides. RefSeq lists it as uncharacterized. The record is from RefSeq and is a predicted model, not a curated record. NCBI's taxonomy places the organism in Eukaryota, Metazoa, Chordata, Actinopteri, Pleuronectiformes, Pleuronectidae. The transcript has 3 exons.